AUACCUUUCUCGGCUUUUUGGCUAAGAUCAAGUGUAGUAUCUGUUCUUAUCAGUUUAAUAUAUGAUAUGUGAGGUUAUCGGCCUGGAGCAUCCCACCAAUU
Molecule: non-coding RNA, 101 nt
Organism: Thalictrum thalictroides
Lineage: Eukaryota; Viridiplantae; Streptophyta; Magnoliopsida; Ranunculales; Ranunculaceae
Source: the annotation of a GenBank genome assembly